AUUGAACGCUGGCGGCAUGCCUAACACAUGCAAGUCGAACGGGGCGCUUCGGCGCCUAGUGGCGGACGGGUGAGUAAAGCGUAGGAAUCUGCCUUGUAGUGGGGGACAACCUGGGGAAACUCAGGCUAAUACCGCAUACGCUCGCGAGAGGAAAGCGGGGGAUCUUCGGACCUCGCGCCGCAAGAAGAGCCUACGUCCGAUUAGCUAGUUGGUAGGGUAAAAGCCUACCAAGGCGACGAUCGGUAGCUGGUCUGAGAGGAUGAUCAGCCACACUGGGACUGAGACACGGCCCAGACUCCUACGGGAGGCAGCAGUGGGGAAUAUUGGACAAUGGGCGCAAGCCUGAUCCAGCAAUGCCGCGUGGGUGAAGAAGGCCUGCGGGUUGUAAAGCCCUUUAAGUGGGGAGGAACGGCGGGAUGCGAACAGUGUUCUGCUCUGACGUUACCCACAGAAUAAGCACCGGCUAAACUCCGUGCCAGCAGCCGCGGUAAU
Molecule: ribosomal RNA, 492 nt
Filed under: uncultured bacterium
Lineage: Bacteria
Description: bacterial SSU rRNA
Rfam family: Bacterial small subunit ribosomal RNA
Source: RNAcentral